This 295-nucleotide unclassified non-coding RNA is filed under the name Hevea brasiliensis (rubber tree). The record is from RNAcentral. Lineage: Eukaryota; Viridiplantae; Streptophyta; Magnoliopsida; Malpighiales; Euphorbiaceae.
GAAAUUGCAUCGGAUAUUAUAAAAGUCAUAAAUGAUUUUCUAUGUAAGAAUAUUGGAAAGCCGUUAUCUUGAAAGUUACCACCAGGAACAGUGAAUGCUGCUGUAAACAUAAUAGUAAUGAUAAGAGCGCCUACAACUGUGCAAGAUGUUGCUGUCUCCUUCAUCUAUUUCUCACCAUCACCCAUCAACUGCUUGUGCUGAUCAGAAAAUAUUUGCCUUGGCAUUUCAUUAUUGAUGUUGAUAAAUUCUUUAAAUGAAGGAUUCACAAUAUUUUCCACUUCCUUGUACCACUGUA